Molecule: signal recognition particle RNA, 268 nt
Filed under: Gemmatimonadota bacterium
Lineage: Bacteria; Pseudomonadati; Gemmatimonadota
Description: signal recognition particle sRNA large type
Rfam family: Bacterial large signal recognition particle RNA
About the family: The signal recognition particle (SRP) is a universally conserved ribonucleoprotein involved in the co-translational targeting of proteins to membranes.
Source: RNAcentral
UCGUGCUAGACGGGGAAGUAGCGGCGCCCUGUAGCCCGCAAUCCGCUAUAGCGGGGUUGAAUUCCUCGUUUGAGGUUCUUCAUUUCGGGAUGUGAUUCGGACAGUACGCGGUGUCGAUCGCCAGGUCCUGCGCAACGGACGAUUGCCGAACCCCGUCAGGACCGGAAGGUAGCAGCGGUAGGUAACCCGGCCGUGUGCCGCGGGGGCCCCUGGCGGGAGCUGGCGCUUUCCGAAUACCCCGGUCUGAAAGCCGAAGCGGGGUGCACGG